GGAGAGUUCGCAUAGUGGUCUAGUGCGCUUGCUUGGAAAGCAAGUGUGUUGUAAAAGGCACCGAGGGUUCGAAUCCCUCACUCUCCGCCA
Molecule: transfer RNA, 90 nt
Filed under: Candidatus Moranbacteria bacterium CG08_land_8_20_14_0_20_34_16
Lineage: Bacteria; Candidatus Moraniibacteriota
Description: tRNA-Ser
Rfam family: tRNA
About the family: Transfer RNA (tRNA) molecules are approximately 80 nucleotides in length. Their secondary structure includes four short double-helical elements and three loops (D, anti-codon, and T loops). Further hydrogen bonds mediate the characteristic L-shaped molecular structure. tRNAs have two regions of fundamental functional importance: the anti-codon, which is responsible for specific mRNA codon recognition, and the 3' end, to which the tRNAs corresponding amino acid is attached (by aminoacyl-tRNA synthetases). tRNAs cope with the degeneracy of the genetic code in two manners: having more than one tRNA (with a specific anti-codon) for a particular amino acid; and 'wobble' base-pairing, i.e. permitting non-standard base-pairing at the 3rd anti-codon position.
Source: RNAcentral